This 484-nucleotide ribosomal RNA is filed under the name unidentified. RNAcentral's name for it is "Gecarcinus quadratus partial 16S ribosomal RNA". The stretch from base 359 to 484 matches the Rfam family "Bacterial large subunit ribosomal RNA", at positions 2473 to 2598 of the family's 2925-position model. The record is from RNAcentral.
UCAAAUAUUAAAGGGCCGCGGUAUAUUGACCGUGCAAAGGUAGCAUAAUAGUUAGUUUUUUAAUUGGAAUCUUGUAUGAAUGGUUGGACAAAAGAAAAUCUGUCUCUAUAUUGUUAAUUGAAUUUAACUUUUAAGUGAAAAGGCUUAAAUAAUUUAAAAAGACGAUAAGACCCUAUAAAGCUUAAUAUUAAAAUAUUAUUGGAUUGAAUUUUAAAUACCAUAAAAAUUCAGUAAUAAAAUUUAUUAUGUUGGGGAGAUAAUAGUAAAAUGAUUGUUAACUGCUUAUUUUUUAAUACAAAUAUAAAUGGAAAAUUUUAAAUGAUCCUAAUUAAAGAUUAAAAGUUUAAGUUACUUUAGGGAUAACAGCGUUAUUUUUUUUGAGAGUUCUUAUCGAAAAAAAAGUUUGCGACCUCGAUGUUGAAUCAAAAUAUCUGUACAAUUGCAGUAGUUGUAUAAGAAGGUCUGUUCGACCUUUAAAUUUUUA